This 164-nucleotide ribosomal RNA is filed under the name uncultured bacterium. RNAcentral describes it as "partial 16S rRNA". It matches the Rfam family "Bacterial small subunit ribosomal RNA", at positions 355 to 510 of the family's 1533-position model. The record is from RNAcentral.
UAGGGAAUCUUCCACAAUGGACGCAGGUCUGAUGGAGCAACGCCGCGUGAGUGAAGAAGGUUUUCGGAUCGUAAAGCUCUGUUGUAAGAGAAGAACGUGUGUGAGAGUGGAAAGUUCACACAGUGACGGUAACUUACCAGAAAGGGACGGCUAACUACGUGCAG